Molecule: long non-coding RNA, 2056 nt
Filed under: Canis lupus familiaris (dog)
Lineage: Eukaryota; Metazoa; Chordata; Mammalia; Carnivora; Canidae
Description: lncRNA (ENSCAFG00040015944.1)
Source: RNAcentral
AUGCCUCUGGAGGGCCAGCGUCUUUCAUAUUAUUAUCAAAUAGGUAAACAGUAUGACAAAUUUAUGUACAAAUUGUCAGUCUUCAUUUCUAAAGAAUGUUUAGAGAUCCCAUGUAGCUGUGCCGUCGGUGAGCAGACGUUUGGUUAUGACCCCCCGCUCGCUUUCUCUCGUUGUCGCUGUCCAGGUGCCCGUGUCAGUGGCCAUGAUGACUCCCCAGGUGAUCACCCCUCAGCAAAUGCAGCAGAUCCUUCAGCAGCAAGUCCUGUCUCCUCAGCAGCUCCAAGCCCUCCUUCAGCAGCAGCAGGCAGUCAUGCUGCAGCAGCAACAACUACAAGAGUUUUACAAGAAACAGCAAGAGCAGUUACAUCUUCAGCUUUUGCAGCAGCAGCAACAGCAGCAGCAGCAGCAGCAGCAGCAGCAACAGCAGCAGCAGCAGCAGCAGCAGCAACAGCAGCAGCAGCCCCAGCAGCCGCCGCCGCCGCCGCACCCCGGCAAGCAGGCGAAAGAGGUAGGAGCGCUGGGCAUUGGGCGCCGCAGCGCCAGGCGGGGAAGGGGCGCCGCGAGGUCAGGGCCGCCUGACACCUCCCCUAGCACCAGGCUCUCGCCCUCAAAGAUGCCCGAUGGUCCUUUUUCACCCAGCUUACUAACAGUGACAGUAGAACUCUCCUGCUCUCCUUUUUUGUAGCAUGGGACUUGAGAGUUACAAUCCAAUGCUGCUGUCUGUCGCCUAAUGUUCACUAAUGAAUCACAGUGUACAAAGAGCGAGCUCUGUGGUGGACAAAGUACUGAUUAUCUUGUAUUCACCGAGAAUCUAAGUUGGUGAGGGAACCUUAUUUUUCUCAGUGGUGCAGCUCAGAGAACGUGCAUGCAAUUGUCGCCCGUGGUUGGGGGUUGGGGGUUGUUGGGGGGGGUGGGGGAGCGGGGUGGGGAUUCGGGGGAGAAACCGGUGGAACACAGAUUUCAAAGUCACGGGCCCCUGAUUAAUGAACUGCUACUGUAGGUUUGGAGUGGCGAGUAGAAAGUUACAGUUUGAUAUGCUCAUAAAUCAAACUGACAGGCCGGCUUCUCGGGCCUAGCUCGCACUUGUCAGCAAACUGCAUCAAAUAUAAACAUAAUACAAACAAAACAUGUUGAAGUAGUUAAAUUGAUCAGCAGGUAUCAGAGCCGUUGUCUUCAAGCUGCCCAUUAUGCAAACGUACAGGAAACAGUUUUGACCUCCUGAGGCUUUGUUUCUGUUUGGAUUUGUGAAUAGAAUUUCAGACAGCCAUCAACUACAGAAUAGAAAUUGCUCCCUUAUUUCUCCGGAGGCUUUGGGCAAUCCACAUGACUUGCUCCAUUAUGCAGUCUGUUUUCCAGUGAGCGCAUCAGAAGUUUCUCUUUUCCCCAAACUAGAAAGGAAAGGUCUUCCCCAGCAGCUUGUCUUUCUCUGAAGUGUGACUGCCUUCUCAUACCCUCCCGAGUCCAAAGAACCCUGGUUUGUCUUGUAAUGCCUCACAAAGUUGGAAGUUAUACUUUUCCUUAUUAUGAGGGCCCUUUUUCUUGCCUGGAACAUAAUUCGGCCUUUAAUGUAUUCCAACAAGAGAGGAGAGGAAGAGAGAGAGCUAACAGGCCCGUCCUCUGAAGGCUACAUCCCAGUUUACUAAUAGAUCACUGGAGAUCCUAUUCAUGGGCCUCUGCAGGCCAAACUCACUCAGUCGGAAAAAAAAAAAAAAAAAAAAAGAAAGAAAGAAAGAAAAGAAUGUUGUUGGAGUUGACAGUUUCUAUAAAGUGUGAUUUUUUUUUUUAGUGUAGAUAAACUUAUUAUCAUCUGCAAUAAGCCAAGUUUUUUUGUUUCGUUUUAUUUUUUUUAAGUCCAAACUUUUGCAACAUACUGUUUCUAGGCCUCGUUCCGUACUCUUUUCAUGCAAGUUCCUUGGUUCUCUGCUGCUGUGUAGUAUUUGAAAGAAAGGCAACUGAAAAUCUAGAACUUGCUCACAUUCUGCUUUUGAACCUUGACCAUGGGAUGACCAUUCAGAAACUCACCGGGGCAAUGAAAGCAGUGUGCAUUUCUCUGUGU